This 308-nucleotide ribosomal RNA is filed under the name Escherichia coli. RNAcentral describes it as "partial 16S ribosomal RNA". It matches the Rfam family "Bacterial small subunit ribosomal RNA", at positions 1 to 303 of the family's 1533-position model. The record is from RNAcentral. Lineage: Bacteria; Pseudomonadati; Pseudomonadota; Gammaproteobacteria; Enterobacterales; Enterobacteriaceae.
UUAAAUUGAAGAGUUUGAUCAUGGCUCAGAUUGAACGCUGGCGGCAGGCCUAACACAUGCAAGUCGAACGGUAACAGGAAGAAGCUUGCUUCUUUGCUGACGAGUGGCGGACGGGUGAGUAAUGUCUGGGAAACUGCCUGAUGGAGGGGGAUAACUACUGGAAACGGUAGCUAAUACCGCAUAACGUCGCAAGACCAAAGAGGGGGACCUUCGGGCCUCUUGCCAUCGGAUGUGCCCAGAUGGGAUUAGCUAGUAGGUGGGGUAACGGCUCACCUAGGCGACGAUCCCUAGCUGGUCUGAGAGGAUGA